UACGAAGGGGGCUAGCGUUGCUCGGAAUCACUGGGCGUAAAGGGCGCGUAGGCGGUGUGUCAAGUCAGGCGUGAAAGCCCCGGGCUCAACCUGGGAACCGCGCUUGAGACUGGCACGCUCGAGUUCGGGAGAGGAUGGUGGAAUUCCCAGUGUAGAGGUGAAAUUCGUAGAUCUCGAGAGGAACACCAGUGGCGAAGGCGGGUCUCUGGACAACACCUGACGCUGAGGCACGAAAGCCAGGGGAGCAAACGGG
Molecule: ribosomal RNA, 253 nt
Filed under: uncultured bacterium
Lineage: Bacteria
Description: partial 16S ribosomal RNA
Rfam family: Bacterial small subunit ribosomal RNA
Source: RNAcentral